RNAcentral lists this ribosomal RNA (533 nucleotides) under Conraua beccarii (Filfil slippery frog). RNAcentral's name for it is "partial 16S ribosomal RNA". It matches the Rfam family "Bacterial large subunit ribosomal RNA", at positions 1850 to 2597 of the family's 2925-position model. Lineage: Eukaryota; Metazoa; Chordata; Amphibia; Anura; Petropedetidae. The record is from RNAcentral.
AGGUCCAGCCUGCCCAGUGACAAAGUUCAACGGCCGCGGUACCCUAACCGUGCGAAGGUAGCAUAAUCACUUGUUCUUUAAAUAAGGACUAGUAUCAACGGCACCACGAGGGUUGUCCUGUCUCCUUUCUCCUAUCAGUGAAACUGAUCUCCCCGUGAAGAAGCGAGGAUUUAGCCAUAAGACGAGAAGACCCCAUGGAGCUUUAAACCCAACAGCACCCCUUCAUACAUAUACCUCAUAAUCCAAAGAGUGCUGCCCGUUGGUUUUAGGUUGGGGUGACCGCGGAGUACAACUAAACCUCCACAAUGAAUGGGAUGAAACCCUAAUCCAAGAGUAACAGCUCUAAGAAUCAUAAAUUUGACAUAACCUGAUCCGAUUUUUUCGAUCAACGAACCAAGUUACCCUGGGGAUAACAGCGCAAUCCAUUUCAAGAGCUCCUAUCGACAAAUGGGUUUACGACCUCGAUGUUGGAUCAGGGUAUCCCGGUGGUGCAGCCGCUACUAAAGGUUCGUUUGUUCAACGAUUAAAACCCU